This 460-nucleotide ribosomal RNA is filed under the name uncultured bacterium. RNAcentral's name for it is "partial 16S ribosomal RNA". It matches the Rfam family "Bacterial small subunit ribosomal RNA", at positions 338 to 795 of the family's 1533-position model. The record is from RNAcentral.
CCUACGGGGUGCAGCAGUGAGGAAUAUUGGUCAAUGGCCGGAAGGCUGAACCAGCCAUGCCGCGUGAAGGUCAGUGCCCUAUGGGCGUUAAACUUCUUUUGUGCGGGAGCAAUAAUGGUCACGUGUGGCCGGUCGAGAGUACCGUACGAAUAAGCAUCGGCUAACUCCGUGCCAGCAGCCGCGGUAAUACGGGGGAUGCAAGCGUUAUCCGGAUUUAUUGGGUUUAAAGGGUGCGUAGGCUGUGAGGUAAGUCAGCGGUGAAAUGCCGCCGCUCAACGGGGUGAAGUGCCAUUGAUACUGCCUUGCUGGAAUGCGGAUGCCGUAGGAGGAAUGUGUGGUGUAGCGGUGAAAUGCAUAGAUAUCACACAGAACACCGAUUGCGAAGGCAUCACACGAAUCCGCGAUUGACGCUGAUGCACGAAAGCGUGGGUAUCAAACAGGAUUAGAUACCCGUGUAGUC